UGGGGAAUUUUGGACAAUGGGCGAAAGCCUGAUCCAGCAAUGCCGCGUGUGUGAAGAAGGCCUUCGGGUUGUAAAGCACUUUUGUCCGGAAAGAAAUCCUUGGCUCUAAUACAGUCGGGGGAUGACGGUACCGGAAGAAUAAGCACCGGCUAACUACGUGCCAGCAGCCGCGGUAAUACGUAGGGUGCAAGCGUUAAUCGGAAUUACUGGGCGUAAAGCGUGCGCAGGCGGUUUGCUAAGACCGAUGUGAAAUCCCCGGGCUCAACCUGGGAACUGCAUUGGUGACUGGCAGGCUAGAGUAUGGCAGAGGGGGGUAGAAUUCCACGUGUAGCAGUGAAAUGCGUAGAGAUGUGGAGGAAUACCGAUGGCGAAGGCAGCCCCCUGGGCCAAUACUGACGCUCAUGCACGAAAGCGUGGGGGAGCAAACAGGAUUAGAUACCCUGGUAGUCCACGCCCUAAACGAUGUCAACUAGUUGUUGGGGACUUCAUUUUCCUUAGUAACGUAGCUAACGCGUGAAGUUGACCGCCUGGGGAGUACGGUCGCAAGAUUAAAACUCAAAGGAAUUGACGGGGU
RNAcentral lists this ribosomal RNA (574 nucleotides) under uncultured bacterium. RNAcentral describes it as "partial 16S ribosomal RNA". It matches the Rfam family "Bacterial small subunit ribosomal RNA", at positions 355 to 919 of the family's 1533-position model. The record is from RNAcentral.